This 978-nucleotide ribosomal RNA is filed under the name Triticum aestivum (bread wheat). RNAcentral describes it as "partial small subunit ribosomal RNA". The record is from RNAcentral. Lineage: Eukaryota; Viridiplantae; Streptophyta; Magnoliopsida; Poales; Poaceae.
AUGGUAGCUCGUAGGAAAACACUGCAGAACUCCAAUGAUGACUAUCCAAAGAUAGUGGACUUCAUCAGUCGGUUUACGGUCCAUCAUAUCAAUGUGAACUUCUCUUGCAGAAAGCAUCGAGCCAAUAGAGCAGAUGUUCACAGUGGGAGCAUGUCUUCAAGGCUAGAUGCUAUUAGGAAUGUCUAUGGGGCUUCGGUUGUUCGUGAUCUGAUGGUAAUACAUGUUUCAGAUGAUGCUGUAGAUGAAAUAUUCAAGAUGGAUGGUUUCAUCUCGAAUGCAAAUUAUGUGGCAAAAAAGACUACUAUGAUUCUUUUCAUAAAUGAUAGACUUGUAGACUGCACUUCUUUGAAAAGGGCUACUGAAUUUGUGUACUCUGCAAUACUGCCUCAAGCAUCCAAACCCUUCAUAUACUCCAUCAAUCUUCCACCAGAACACAUGGAUGUCAAUAUACAUCCAACCAAAACGGCGGCUAGCCUCUUAAAUCAAUGGUGUAUUAUUGAUUUUUUUAAAGAUGCUAUUGAGGAAAAACUGAUGAACUGUAAUAACACAAGGAUAUUCCAAACUCAGGCACUAACCUCUGCGCUUACUCAAGCUAACACACUAAAGGAUAUGGGUACCGAGGUCAGCACCCCUACUGGAGAAAAAUCUCAAAAGGUUCCUGUGAGCCAAAUGGUCAGAACAGAUCCACGCGAUCCAUCUGGAAGGUUGCACACCUAUUGGCAAGGUCAAUCUUCAAAUCUAGAAAAGAAAUCUGACCUUGUUUCGGUAAGAAAUAUUGUAAGAUCAAGAAGAAAUCCAAAAGAUGCUGGUGAUUUGUCCAGUCGCCAUGAGCUUCUUACAGAAAUAGAUUCUAACUUAUAUCCCGGCCUUUUCGAUAUUUUUAAGAAUUGCACAUAUGUUGGAGUUGCCAAUGAAGUUUUAGCUUUGAUACAACACAAUACCCUCUUAUACCUUGUCAACGUGGUAAAUGUUCGGUAA